Molecule: ribosomal RNA, 440 nt
Filed under: uncultured bacterium
Lineage: Bacteria
Description: partial 16S ribosomal RNA
Rfam family: Bacterial small subunit ribosomal RNA
Source: RNAcentral
CCUACGGGAGGCAGCAGUGGGGGAUAUUGCACAAUGGGGGGAACCCUGAUGCAGCGACGCCGCGUGGGUGAAGAAGCGCCUCGGCGCGUAAAGCCCUGUCAGCAGGGAAGAAACUGACGGUACCUGAAGAAGAAGCCCCGGCUAACUACGUGCCAGCAGCCGCGGUAAUACGUCGGGGGCAAGCGUUAUCCGGAUUUACUGGGUGUAAGGGGGGCGCAGACGGCGAUGCAAGCCAGGAGUGAAAGCCCGGGGCCCAACCCCGGGACUGCUAUUGGAACUGCGUGGCUGGAGUGCAGGAGGGGCAGGCGGAAUGCGUGGUGUAGCGGUGAAAUGCGUAGAUAUCAGGAGGAACACCGGUGGCGAAGGCGGCCUGCUGGACUGCAACUGACGUUGAGGCCCGAAAGCGUGGGGAGCAAACAGGAUUAGAUACCCCGGUAGUC